UUCGGGAAUCCAGCUGUAAGCUCUGGACCAUCUACGACAGACCUGGAGGGGAAAGGAGUCCUGGAAAAGACAAGAUCUCAAGGUGCUUGGAACAUAUUUUUGUGUCUACCUUAG
Molecule: non-coding RNA, 114 nt
Organism: Phascolarctos cinereus (koala)
Lineage: Eukaryota; Metazoa; Chordata; Mammalia; Diprotodontia; Phascolarctidae
Source: RefSeq, a predicted model, not a curated record